GUAUUUUAUACAUGUACAUUUUUCAUUUUUGUAUUGUACACUUGACAGACUGCUUGAGGGCUAGUCGUCCACGGUCCACCAACAUUCCAACACCAAGCCCAGCAGGGCAGUAGGCUAGCACGUCAUCACACAUUCACACCAUCCCAUCAGGCAUCCAGGCACCACCGCACGUAGCGAUAGCACAAGCAAAAAAAACAAACCCUACAGGCUACAACCUACGCGGACGCGGUUUGCUGGGCGGCUGUGCCUGCGUCGGCGGGCGCCGCACCUGCACACAACACGCCUGUUCUUGACCGGAGCUGACACUGGCCACCGCAGCUGACACCGGCGCACCUCCCCCUGACCGGAUUCAGGCCUGACACCACUGAGGCGCCGACUACUAGGAGCCCAGCCGCCAGGACGGUGACGAACUGAUAGCCAUGGAUUCUCAGACGCCGACAAACUCGGAUGGUGACCAAGGAAGGAACGCUGACAAGGAAGUGCAAGUGCCACAUCUAACUGCUCCAUCAUCGGUGGCUGGUGUGAGUGCGACCAACACCAACUCCAACUCCAACUCGAUCAACAGCCAACCGCCAGACGCCAACUCCGACUGCAGGUGUUGUUGCUGCCAAGAACAAGAAGAUAGACAACCCUUCAAAAGCAAGAGACAAAGCGUCUACUCCAGAAUCAUCUACCACCAGUGGCGUCGUUCAAUCAAAAUCCCUAGGGUUUGAUUGUAAAGCUUGCAAACCCUCUUUUGUUUUCUUACUCUGAUUUUUUUAUCCAUUUUUGUAAUUUAGACAGGAAAUUAGUUUGUAUAUUAAUGUGUUCUGUAUUGGACAGAUUUGAAAGGAAAUAGGCUUACACCUUUUCCUAAUUGAUUUUGGUGGUUGAACUGCCCAACACAAAUAA
Long non-coding RNA from Zea mays, 891 nucleotides. RefSeq lists it as uncharacterized. NCBI's taxonomy places the organism in Eukaryota, Viridiplantae, Streptophyta, Magnoliopsida, Poales, Poaceae. The record is from RefSeq and is a predicted model, not a curated record. The transcript has 2 exons.